This 169-nucleotide ribosomal RNA is filed under the name uncultured bacterium. Its description in RNAcentral is "partial 16S ribosomal RNA". It matches the Rfam family "Bacterial small subunit ribosomal RNA", at positions 338 to 524 of the family's 1533-position model. The record is from RNAcentral.
CCUACGGGAGGCAGCAGUUAGGAAUUUUGGGCAAUGGGCGCAAGCCUGACCCAGCAACGCCGCGUGGGUGACGAAGGCCUUCGGGUUGUAAAGCCCUUUUCUGAGGGAAGAUGAUGACGGUACCUCAGGAAGAAGCACCGGCUAACUACGUGCCAGCAGCCGCGGUAAU